UUACCCCCUUUCACUUUGCCAAUUGGACUUAAUGUCUUUAUUGGUCAUUCAAGUGGGGCAAAGGAAAUAACCUUUUAAAACUCAGGCAAACUGAGUGUUUGUCCUGUAACCUGUCAAAGGAAACAUUG
This is a small nucleolar RNA of Castor canadensis (American beaver), 128 nucleotides long. The record is from Ensembl. NCBI's taxonomy places the organism in Eukaryota, Metazoa, Chordata, Mammalia, Rodentia, Castoridae.